AGGUGACCGGCCACACUGGGACUGAGACAGGCCCAGACUCCUACGGGAGGCAGCAGUGGGGAAUAUUGCACAAUGGGCGCAAGCCUGAUGCAGCGACGCCGCGUGAGGGAUGACGGCCUUCGGGUUGUAAACCUCUUUCAGUAGGGAAGAAGCGAGAGUGACGGUACCUGCAGAAGAAGCACCGGCUAACUACGUGCCAGCAGCCGCGGUAAUACGUAGGGUGCGAGCGUUAUCCGGAAUUAUUGGGCGUAAAGAGCUCGUAGGCGGUUUGUCGCGUCUGUCGUGAAAGUCCGGGGCUUAACCCCGGAUCUGCGGUGGGUACGGGCAGACUAGAGUGCAGUAGGGGAGACUGGAAUUCCUGGUGUAGCGGUGGAAUGCGCAGAUAUCAGGAGGAACACCGAUGGCGAAGGCAGGUCUCUGGGCUGUAACUGACGCUGAGGAGCGAAAGCAUGGGGAGCGAACAGGAUUAGAUACCCUGGUAGUCCAUGCCGUAAACGUUGGGCACUAGGUGUGGGGACCAUUCCACGGUUUCCGCGCCGCAGCUAACGCAUUAAGUGCCCCGCCUGGGGAGUACGGCCGCAAGGCUAAAACUCAAAGGAAUUGACGGGGGCCCGCACAAGCGGCGGAGCAUGCGGAUUAAUUCGAUGCAACGCGAAGAACCUUACCAAGGCUUGACAUGUUCUCGAUCGCCGUAGAGAUACGGUUUCCCCUUUGGGGCGGGUUCACAGGUGGUGCAUGGUUGUCGUCAGCUCGUGUCGUGAGAUGUUGGGUUAGUCCCGCAACGAGCGCAACCCUCGUUCCAUGUUGCCAGCACGUCGUGGUGGGGACUCAUGGGAGACUGCGGGGGUCAACUCGGAGGAAGGUGAGGACGACGUCAAAUCAUCAUGCCCCCUUAUGUCUUGGGCUUCACGCAUGCUACAAUGGCCGGUACAAUGGGUUGCGAUACUGUGAGGUGGAGCUAAUCCCAAAAAGCCGGUCUCAGUUCGGAUUGGGGUCUGCAACUCGACCCCAUGAAGUCGGAGUCGCUAGUAAUCGCAGAUCAGCAACGCUGCGGUGAAUACGUUCCCGGGCCUUGUACACACCGCCCGUCAAGUCACGAAAGUCGGUAACACCCGAAGCCGGUGGCCUAACCCUUGUGGGGGGGAGCCGUCGAAGGUGGGACCAGCGAUUGGGACUAAGUCGUAACAAGGUAGCCGUACCGGAAGGUGCGGCUGGAUCACCUCCUUUCUAAGGAGCAU
Molecule: ribosomal RNA, 1238 nt
Filed under: Micrococcus luteus
Lineage: Bacteria; Bacillati; Actinomycetota; Actinomycetes; Micrococcales; Micrococcaceae
Description: bacterial SSU rRNA
Rfam family: Bacterial small subunit ribosomal RNA
Source: RNAcentral